AAUAUUCUAUGUUUUAUAACCAUGGGGAGAAAGUGGUGCAAGAAAAAAAGCUGAGAAUUACAGAAGAAUAACUAUUCAAGAAGGAGGAGAGAAGAGAAGGAAAGAUCUGAAGUAGAGAUACUCUCUCAAACUAGGCAAAUGGUGACUCAUUCCCAUCUUCUCAUCCUGUGCAACUCCUAACCAUGCUCAUCUGUAAAUCCUCUAUCAAGAUGUAAAGUACUGCACCAUCUGUACAUGGAUACUUAAGUUGUUGGAAGAGAAACCAAAAGAGACAUUCAUAGGUUCUGAGGACCUAAGAGAAAAUGUAUCUUAAUAAAGAUAUUGAGUAUCUACUAAUUGACUUAAAG
This 347-nucleotide long non-coding RNA is filed under the name Monodelphis domestica (gray short-tailed opossum). RNAcentral describes it as "lncRNA (ENSMODG00000035470.2)". The record is from RNAcentral. Lineage: Eukaryota; Metazoa; Chordata; Mammalia; Didelphimorphia; Didelphidae.